Molecule: long non-coding RNA, 903 nt
Organism: Strongylocentrotus purpuratus (purple sea urchin)
Lineage: Eukaryota; Metazoa; Echinodermata; Echinoidea; Camarodonta; Strongylocentrotidae
Exons: 3
Source: RefSeq, a predicted model, not a curated record
UGUGAAAGUUGUAAUUUUGUAUUUGCUAGUUAAAGUCAUUUUAUAUAGUAUUUAUUGAUUUAGCUUGACAUUGCAAUAAUAGAACUACAGAGGGCGUUUGGUCAAAGAUUACUUUGACAGUUCUUAAGUUUUUCUAGUUUGAAGGUCAGAAACUUAUUUGGCGCCACCUGUUGUUGGCUGAUUUGGAAUGAUCAUGUUUGCAACAUGAUUUCUGUUUUGUGAGGAAAAUCUGUGGUUUUCUGGAGCAUCCUUUGUUCCUGAGAGCUGUUUCCUACAGUAUUAUGGAGGCACAGAGUUUUCACGGAAUGAAGGGAAGAAGAACGGAAUAAAGCAGUGAAAGGAGUAAAGAUAAAGAUUCGUUCGUCAAAGACAGAGUUGCAUUUCCCUUGAUGGUUAUGACUCUAAAAUAAACUGACAUUCCCGUAAAAACCUGAGUCGUUGUAAUUAUUCAGCGUUUCGCCUCACAGACAGUCACAGUGAAAACUCUUUCUCAGAAGAGUGAAAAGAACUCAGGGAAAUAGCCAACCUUUUCCUGAGUUAAACCGCCUCUCGGCUCUUCAAGUAAGCUCUCUCCAACGAUCAGACAAGAUGAUAGAAGGAGAAGGAAAAGCUGAGGGACAAACAGCAGUUGCAACCGACAAGGUGUUGCAACCAGAAGCUGAGGGACAAACAGCAGUUGCAACCGACAAGGUGUUGCAACCAUCAGCUGAGGGUCAAACAAGACCAUCAAGAGAAGCAGUUGCAACCGACAAGGUGUUGCAACAAUCAGCUGAGGGUCAAACAAGAUCAUCAGGAGAAGCAGUUGCAACCGACAAGGUGUUGCAAUACCAGCUUGGCGUUGCAACCAAGAACUGGAAGGAUGCAAUAAUAACGUGGCAGAAAACAGCCAACAAUUUGAUGAAA